UGUUCUGGUGGAUAAAAAUAUGGUAUUGCCUCUAUAAAGAAAGGGGAGGGUUGGAAAUCUCAUAAGAAAAUGUCAUUUUCAUUUGAGAUGUGCUGAGUUGCAGGGAAACCAUCAAUUUGUGGAAGAAACUCAAGAUUGUCUACUUCAACAUCCAUCCAAUCUCCAUUCCAGCUAGUCCUAUAUUAUAGGCACUAUAAAGCUAACCUAACUAACCUGUUUCUCUUAAUCUCCUCAGCAGAUAGGUUGUAAGCAUGUGACCUAGAUCCCACCUUAGUUGCAACUUGAGAUUUAAUGGUAGAAUUGAGCACACAGGCUUGUGGAAGAGGUCAUAUUUGAGCUAGGAUCAGUAAUUAUGUGCCGAGAAUAAUGCAGUGGUAGGAAAUCGGCUACUCAAAGAGGAAAAUGUGUUGGUCAAAUGUGUGGGGAUUGUAUUAAGGAGAUACUCUGAAAAACAUGAAAGGGUUGGUUUUGUGGGCGGUUCAGUUUGAAGGGCAUAAAACUGUAAGGGCUGUAUCAAUUCAGUUUUGUAUGUUUCUUCACUGGGAGCCAGAGCAUAUGUGGCAAGAGCAACAUAAGUAUUUGUUUUGACUUUGUUAUUACUUUUAAUCGUAUGGCUUCGAGCAAGUUGCUUAUAGCCUCUAAAUUUCAUCUUCCUCGUCUAAAGAUGAAGAUCAUCUUUCAUAUCAAAGACAGUUUUUGCCCGAAUUGAAGCACCCUCCAUAGUGAAUAUUUAAAUACCUUUUAGAGUGAUCAUUAUAUAUUUAGAACGAUAUAUAUUUUUAAUAUUUUAUUUAUUUGUUUGUUGUUUAGAAAGCACAUGCACACAGAGUGGGGGAGGGGCAGAGAGAGUGACAAAACCUUAAGCAUGCUUCAUGCUCAGCACAGAGCCGGACAUGGGGCUCGAUCCCAUGACCUGGGAUCAUGACCUGAGCCAAAAUCAAGAGUCGGCUGCUCAAUUGACUGAGCCACCCAGGCGCCCCUAGAGCGGCCAUUCUAAACUACAUUCAUUCCAACAUAAGUGAUGCAAAUUAUUCCACAUUACUGAUUGAAAAUUUGUUAUUGUUUCCUAUACUUAAAACAGUAGUUCCAGGUCCUUCUCACAUGGAGUCUUUUUCACAUCGAAACACGUUGUAGAUGCCCAUGUGAGAGCUAUACCCUUAGUGCCUGUUAAGUGAGAAAUAACACAAACCAAAAGCUACUUCAAAUUUAGCAACAAUUUUAAGUUUAUUUUGUUAUUAAUAAAUAUAGCACAGAUAUAUAUUGGCCAAUGAUAUGUAUUCAGAAAUAUAAGACAUAUCCCAUCAAAGUCAAUGAAUAGUGGAUUCUUGGACUCCUUGUAGUAACUAUUUUCUACCAGUCAAGAACCACUGCCUUAAAGAUGACAUUUAAAUUAAUUAGUAAGCUAUACAAGAUAGUUUAAACUCUUUUUAAAACAAUUUUUUAAUGUUAAUUUAUUUAUUUUUGAAAGAGAGAGAGAGAGCAAGCAGGGGAAGGGCAGAGAGAGAGGGAGACAGAAUCCCAAGCAGGAUCCCUACCAGUCAGCACAGAGCCCGAUGAGGGCUCAAACUCAUGAGGCCGUGACAUCAUGACCUGAGCUGAAACCAAGAGUUGGACACUUAACCGACUGAGCCACCCGGGUGCCCCUCUUUUUUUUUUUUUUUUAAUGUUUAUUUAUAUUUGAGAGAGAGAGCAAGAGUGGGGGAAGGGCGGAGAGAGAGGGAGACACAGAAUCUGAAGGAGGCUCCAGACUCUGAGCUAUCAGCACAGAACUCAUGAACCACGAGAUCAUGACCUGAACUGAAGUCGGACGCUCAACUGACUGAGCCACUCAGGCGCCCCAGGAUACUUUAAACUCUUAAAACCAAGGUUUCCAGUCUCAUCUCCAGUCACUUUGCUCUCCUUGUCCUCUUCUCAUACCAUGUUGGCCACAAAAACUAAUCCUUUUCCUCCUCGUUCCUCACUCAUCACUUUUUCAGGAAUGCCCUCCCAUCCUUUCCUUUGCCUGAAACACCCUCACCUUGUCCCUUAAGACCCGAUAAAAAUGUCAGGAGAAAUUUUUUAGAUUCCUCUUAGUGGUAUUUGUUCUUUGAUGCAACUCAUAACACUUCAUACAUCAUCUUUAGCGAAGCAGUUAUUAUGUUAUACUGGGAUGAUUUUUACAUUUAUCUUUUUCACCAGAUUCUGGCCUCCCAGGUGGCAGAACCUGGGUCUUAUUCAUCUUUGUAUCCUGGGUUCCCAGAAUAGUGCCUGGAACAUAGUAAGUGCUAUGAUAUGUUGUAGAGGUUGGUGGAUUCACAAUGGCUAUUAGAGUAUCUUUGGCAACCUUAGAGCAGAAUCCUGAAAGAAGAAGAAAAGCAAAAUAGUCCAGCCCUAAGUGUCCUGCUCUUUCCCUGUAAUAACCACUCUAUAUAGGAACAAAUAAUGAUCAAUCUCAUAUGUAGCCAUGAAUUUGAAGAAAGUUACAGCUGGAAAAAACUGCAGCUGCCAUCCACUAUGAGUUCUUCACAUUACAGACUAGGAAACAGUCAGCAUUGAGCCCUUCCUUUUUCAGAUUCAGCAAUACACUUCUCAGCUUUCUCCAUAUUCUGGUUCCUGAUUCAUUUUCUUUCAAUCCUGACUUGUCUAUAUUCCUCCUAAAUUGUUGGAAUAAGUUGCUCAUUUACAGAAGGUGUAAAAUUUGUUUUUGUCCCUAGUAUAUGAAUGGCUGCAAUCCAUAGGUAAUUUAUAUUUUUCAGUGAUUUAGAAGUUUUAAUCUUCUUCCUGGCCAAGUUCUUCACCGGGCAAUAUCUAAGGAGGGACAGAAUUGGCAGAUGCAAAUUCAAACUUCAUUUACUUCUCUUGCCCAGACUCUGCGGGAAGUGAAUGGGCAGCAAAGUGCCAAAGGCAAGCGGCCAAAAGAAGAGUUGCAACCUGGACAUUCAACCUCUGGACAAAUGCAAAUCCACAGGGACCACUCUCAUUUCAGAGAUUAUAACCUACCUGGUUUUUGUAACUUCUAGGUGUUGAGCCUCAAAUGCCAGGUGUCAAAUAGGAGAUGGGUAACUUUGUGGCAUCAUGGAUGUGUUUGUGUGAGGGAAUGAUCUGUAUGGAACCGUGAAGUAAGUAGCUUGAAGGAGAACAUGGAGAAAAUUUGUCUUGGGCAAGAUGCUGAGUGCUUCAAUAACAAGGAAAAAAUUAAACUUUCUUUUUUUUUAAGUUCAUUUAUUUAUUUUGAAAGAGAUAGAGACAGUGUAAGUAGGAGAGGGGCAGAGAGAGAGGGAGAGAGAGAGAAUCCCUCUGCCAUCUCAGAACCCGAUGCAGGGCUCGAACUCAUGAGGCCAUGAGAUCAUGACCUGAGCUAAAACCAAGAGUCAGACGCUUAACCGACUUGAGCCACCCAAGCGCCCCGUAAACUUUCUUCUGUUGCAUCCAACUGACUGCAUGGUCACUUUGAGAACAAUCAAAGUAGUUAUUCUUGAAGAAGUGUGUAGAAGAAAAUUUAACAAAAGGAAGUUACAAUCUAGGACUUCUGAAGAGCCACUCAAGAUGUAAAAUAGAUUAAUAGAUCAAUAGAUUUCCCUCUCUAUGGAGGGAAAGCCCGGGCGUCACUCUGAACUUAAAUGAGGUAUUACUGUUAGCCAUCAAAAAUGAAAAUCCUCCUGUAUCUAGUAGCCUGUGGGUGCGCAAGCAUCCUUAUGAAUCUGUAUUCCAUCUUUUGCCAAGUAAACUCAUCUAUUUAUACUUUAUACAGAUUCCUAACUCUAGGGAUAGAAAUUGUCAGGCUCCCAAAUUCAAGUCUAGAGAAGUUAGAAUCCUCGUUGUUUACAAAGCUUGUCCAUCAAGUGAAGCUGGUGUUAAUUAACUCUGGCAUCCCUCAAUUCAUUUUGCGUAUUCAAAGGUGGAUAUGAAGGCUGAGUCUGAAAUAACAAAUGCACAGACAGCACCAUUAAGGAGAAUGCAGGCAUCACAUAUUUUUCCUUGUCUUGCUUCUGUUACCAAUCAAACUUGCAGACGUGAGACUAGAGCUUUUCUGACAAUAGUCCCACAAAAAGAUGCUGUUCAUUUGUUUUGGCAGUGGGUAGUACUAUUCUAAGAAGUCAGCUGUGUGUGGCAGAGCCCAGCAUUAUAGCUCAAAAUCUGUACUUUCUUAGCACUUGCAGGGCAUUGGGUUGAUGCAUUCAGAAGGAAAUGGAACAGGUAGGAGGGCACAUUGGGAAACAGCAGUUAAUAUGCUAUGACUUGUGGGGCACCUGGGUGGCUCAGUUGUUUGGACAUCCAACUUUGGCUCCGGUCAUGAUCUCAUGGUCUGUGAGUUCGAGUCCCGCAUCAGGCUCUGUGCUGACAGCUCAGAGCCUGGAGCCUGCUUCAGAUUCUGUGUUCCCCCUCUCUCUCUGCCCCUCCCUGAUUCGUGCUCUAUCUCACUCUGUCUCUCAAAAAUAAAUGGUAAAAAAAUUUUUUUAAUGUUAUGACUUGUAAAAUCCCCUGUGUAUAGUACAGUGUUUUCAGUUAUUAAAUGAAUAUAAUUUAAAGAGCAAUUUGCUUGUCAUCAUUGGUACUGUUAUAUAUUCCUACCAUAUUGGUCAGUUUUGAUUUUUUGUAGACAGUUUUCAACCUGUGCAAAUCAAUAGUGGUUCAUGGGGAUGUGAAUCUAAAACAUGGGUAUAUAAAUCUAAAAUAAGAGGUACAUUUUUUUUUUAGAAAUUUUAGUGAUCAUAUUCCAAGUUACAUUAAGUUCUGCAAAUACCCUAUAUAAAUAGAAUAUUCUGGACAUACAGCAAGCCAGCAAUGCACUAUCUGAGAAUUAGGUCCUCUUUUUUCACCAGAUACAUUUCUGGACGACACAACUGUGAGCUCACUUAGAGGGGAUUCUGGGGCCCACAGGCAAAAUGCCCAUGUAUACACCUCAGGAGCAGACUGACCUACUAAGACAAGAAUGGCUUUGUCUGGGCUCACAUGACAAAAAAAUUCACACAGAGUCUAAUGAUAGACAUACCUUUUCCCUUUUGAUUACUGCCAGGAUGCCCACUGUAAACUGACUGUGGGCUGACUGCUAAGCAGAGUUGGGGGUAAGAAGGAAAGGAGAAGAUAACAAAGCAAUUUUUCCUUUUUUUGCCCACAGUACACAAUGUGUGUUUUUUUACUCCAUAAAUCACCAGGCAAAUAUCCAGCUAUCUUUAUGUACACUCUAAUCAACUUCUUUGUCACUGCUGCUAGAAAAAAAUACUACUAGCUUCCAGAACCAUAGCUAUAUAUCACAUGUUAUGGUCUUGCAUAUAUGCUGGAGUCUAGCGAGUUUAAUUCGUUCCAUGGUGUCUAUGUAAGUACAUGGUUGUAUCUGCAUCUUAUCUUAAAAUAGAGAUUUGGGUUUGAAAUUGAGAUUCUUUUUUUUUUUUUUUUUUUUUUUUACUUCUUCCUUCUCAGAUUAUUCCCUUUUUUCCUACUCUGCUUUAGACCAGACACUCCUAAAAGAGUCUGUACCUUGAACAGACUGGGCAUUGUUGGGAAUCCAUGCUGCAGUUCCAUAGAAAUCAAGUCCAUGAGUCAGAAAGCAAACACCAGGCCUGUUGUAUUGAUUCUAUGAGGUGGGUUACUAAUGUAACACCUGACAUGUAUGAGCUGGCCAAGAGCUGCUCCCCGAAGAGUUGCUGGGCAGAAUGCUGUGAGGGUUGGAACUAAUUGGAAGUAUAACCCAUGACUGUUUGGGGAAAGUGAAGUCGUGCCAUUUCAGAGCCAGGCCUUUCCCUUCUGUUUCUCAGUAGGGAUGCUGUUUCCUUAAUAGUGCCCCUGGCUUUAUUGCAGUCAGUGGAAGACAGGAGGCCAUUUGCUUCCUGCACAUCAAUCACUGUGGGCCUGAGAUCUCAGGAUAUGUUCAUCAGAAGGCAGGCUGCACGAGCCUUACUCCUAAAAUCUUGGAGAGCACUCAAACAAGUCAGCUAACUGCAAGAGUCCAAUUAAUCAGAUUCUAUAGUGGAAAGAGGUGUGAAGAAAAACCAAAAUGUCUUCAAACGAUUAAGCAAAACAGACUGCUUAUCUGUUGUUGUCUAUGACAUCAUGGGCUUGCUCUAAGCCAAAGGUCAGCAAACUAUAGCCUCCAGCCUGAUUUUGGAUAGCCCACAGACAAAAAAUGAUUUUUACCUUUUUUAAGGGUUGCUAAAAAAAAAAAAAAAGUAAAAGCAGAGACUAUGGGAUAGAGACUGUAUGUAGCCAAUGAAACCUGAAAUAUUUACUAUCUGGCCUUCUACGGAAAAAAUUUCUAAGCCACGAGGGUGUGACAAUGAGAACUUUUGCAUUUCUAGCUUCCACACCCCCUCUGUUGCCUUUAGAGUCCAUCUAUAUUGUCAGUCGCCCCAAGGGAGGGCUUUGGCUGACUUAAGGGACCCUACGAGAACCAUGCAGUGUUGAGAUUCCUGCACCACUUUCCAGUGAGCAUUACUAUAUAUAGUCCAAGGCUGCCCAUGCUGGUGCUAAGUAAGUAAUUCAGUGGGGAACCACAGGCUUACAAAAAUUUAGAUUGAACAUGGAUCACAACAGUACAGUCUAACUUCCCGGCCCAUGACAGGGCUUCCAGAGCAGCCCAGCUUCUCGGGGAGCACACGUGUUUAUCAGAUAUUUGAGCCAUUUGAUACUUGGGUGUUUGUCUUCUAAUACCCUUCUUUAAGAGCUGGCCCGCCUCCAGCGGUUUGGGAAGAUAAAGUUCUAAAUUGAUUCCUAAAGUUUCUGGUUAGAUAGAGACUCCCUUUCAGUCCAGGUUCUUCCUCUUUGUUCUUUGAUCUGAAUCCCAGGAGAGUCGUGAGUGUCUCUCCUGUGGCAGCUUUGUCUGAAUAUUGCGGAGAGGUCUGGUGACAUGCCUGUAGGGUGAUUAUCAGAAGUGGGGGUGGGAAGGGGAAACAUCCUUCACCUUGCUUUCUCUUGGGGCCAAACAUUCUCUUCUUGAAGGAACAUGAAUCCCAGGACCACUGUGUUCCCGAGGCUAGGUAUCCCUCACAUAAACAGACUGAGUUAAAAACCCAGGAUUCCAACCAGCUUCAGGAUCAGCAUCCUUAUGACUCUCAUUUCCCCCCAGUUCUCUUUCAUGCUGCCCUAGUUCAGACCUUCAUCAUCUCUCACUAAAGACCAGAGUAGUGGCCUCAUCACUGGUGACUCAAAUCCAAAGGCCAACUCAGGCUACUCUGCACCCUGCUUCCAGGGAGCUGAAAACCUGGCUGUGUCACCAAAGGUUGGAACCUUUAUGUUGGUUCCCAUUGCCUACAGAAUAAAAGUUCAACUCUAUGAAGGCAUUUCAAGAUCUAUGUACUUUCUUACCUCAUCUCCCAUUUGCACCUGUCCUUUACCAAUGGUCACGGACAUGUAGUUCCUUAGCAGAUGGCUUCACACACCUAUGCCUUUACUCAUGCUGGCUCCACCACCUGAAAUGCCCUCCCUGCUCUUCCCCCCGUUUGCUUCACAAUCUAAUCAUCUUUCAACUUGGAUGUCAGGAGUCACCUUCAGGAUUGAAUUGCGUCCCCACCAAAAGCUGUUGAAGCCCUAAUCCCUGGCACCUGUGAAUGUGACUCUAUUUGGAAAUAGUGUUUUUGUAACCAAUCAAGUUAAGAUGGAGUCAAUAGGGUAGGCCCAAUCCAAAAGCACUGGUAUCCUUCUAAAAAGAGUAAAUCUGGACACAGAUACACUUGCAUAGAGGGAAGAUGAUGUGAAGAUACUAGGAGAAUGCCAUCCCCAAGCCAAGGAAUGAUUGAGGCUAUCAGAAGCAAAGAGAGAGGCCUGAAACCAGUUCUCUUUCACAGACCUCAGAAGGAACCCACACUGCCAAGAUCUUGAUCUUGGACUUCCAGCCUCUAGAACUCUGAGACGAUACAUUUCUGUUGAUUAAGCCACACAGUGUGUAGUACUUUAAGGUAGCCCUAGCAAGCAAAUACACAUCAUUUUUACUGUAGAAGCUUUCUUGAUUCACGUAAAGUCAAAAUGGACUUUUGUGUGCCCCAGCCUUAUUCUAGAUAUAUCCCAGCAGCCAUACACAAUAAAGCAGUGCUUUCAAAUUAUAAUGUGCAUGUGAAUCACCUGGUAAUCUUGUUAAAAGGCAGAUUCUGAUUCAGUAAGCCUAGGCUGGGCCCUGGGAUGCUGAAUUUCUAACAAGCUCCCAGGUGAUACUGAUACUGCUGAUGCUGCUGGUCCACAGGCCGGUCCACAGGCCACACUCUGGGUGCCAGGGCUUUAGGACACUUACUUACGUGUCUGUCCAUGAUGCUGUACCAUGUGUGAGGGCAAGAUCUGUGUCUUUGAAUACCUAGUACUUGAUGCAGUGCUGGGAAUAUGACAGGCAUAUAAUAAAUGUUAGUUAAAUUGUUGAUGAAUGAAUGAAUCAUUAGAAUCAUGACUUGGUAUUGAGGGAUUCAUGGUCAUUCCCAAGAUAUGUUGGACAAUAACUGCACUGCCAAAUGUCUCAGCUUUCCCAUCCUUCACCAUUUUUACUCCUUUGAAGCUCAGAGAGAAAAGAAGCUCCUAUCACACGUGAGGAAACACAUUCUGGAAGGCUGCAGUGAUAGCAGGGAGAUGUACUGCUAAUUUUUCAACUGUAAGUCAACUCUUUAACACCAUUGAGCAAAAGCCAUCCCUUUCCUGCAUCUAUUCUUCACUUCUACUCUUUGUGCAACUGGCCAGAAGCUGGUCCCUGAGAGCCAGAGGACAGGCAAGUAAUGUACAUGACUAAGCUCUUCGUAGGAAUCUGGCACUGUGCACUUAAAACGGCUCGCGGAAGUAGGUAUUAUUAGCCCUAUUUACAGAUAAAAAAUUGAAGCUGAAGAAGUAGUUUGUCCAAAAUUAUCCAACUAGUAGGUGACAGAACCAGGGGCCAAACAGAUUUAACUUCAAAAUCUGUGUCUUUUCUAUGGCAUUGUGAAAGAGACAGCUGAUGUUCUAACUAGCUACACGCUUGUGAUAUCUGCUGCCUCUCUCCUGCCAGUAGAGGAUUGAAAGUAGUAGCUAUUGCUCUGUAUCUUAGAGAUGAUUACUCAACUGUUUUCUAGGGUAUUCCAAUUCUGGUAGUCACAGAGAUGCCUCGUUUUUCUGGCAUCUUCGAGAACAUGAUGUUUCUUCCUUUAAGUGGGUCUUUCCUCUCAAUUUAAAGAAUUGUUUUUAACAAUUUUGGAUAGAGUAAUUCUGACAUACAGUACACUAAUUUUGCCUUCGUAAAUAAGGUAUAUCUUUUCUUAAUGCCUCAGGGCCAUUAUUAAGGAUUGUCAUUCCAAAUGUUCUGCUGAAAUUGAGGCAUAUUGUCAGAUAUUACUGAAAAUAUUGAACUAUUUGCCUUACAAUAAGUGGUCAGACUCAAUAUAUGUUUUAAAGAUUUUACUUUUAAGUAAUCUCUACACCCAACAUGGGGUUCGAAGUCACAACAAGACCAAGAGCUGCAUGUUCUAUCAACUGAGCCAGCCAGGUGCCCCGGACUAUUUUUUGAGGCAAUAUUUCUUGUACUUUUUUUUUCUAUUCCUCCCUUACUCUAAAGACUAUCGGGUAUUCCUUUAUGCUGAUGGCAGUGAAUCUGCUUCUAACAUCUCAUUUCUCAUUUGUUAAUUCAAUUCUCAAGGGUGAGAAGAAUUGAUAUGCAACCUUCUUAGAAAUAUAUGCAAAGUAAAAGUGAGGAGGAUAUGAAUUGAACAUCUAACAGGUUUCCUUCUGAGUUAGCAUAAGAGUUUCAUUACCUUUAAACAGAGGCAGAACUUUUUGUUCUCCCAGAGGUUUCUGUUAAUUCUCUGGUUCUGAACAUUAUACUUUCAAGUUAAGGUCAUUUAAAAAAUAAUAUCUAUCAAGGUGCAAUGGUGCUGUACAAUAUAUUAGCUUUAGAUUCCCUCUUGCCUAUAAAACAGCUAAUAACAGUAAAACAUCUCUAAUCUGGAACAACCCAAAAGGAGAAGACAUCCUGAGUUAUUUUUUUAAGAUCUCAUUUAAUGUAUUUUUAAAAAAAUUAUGUGGAUCUCUUGCUUUCAAAAUCAGAAAGUGACUCACAUUAGCUGCUAAGAAAAUGCUGGAUGAAUUCUAUUGGUUAGACAACAAUACUCAUUUGGUUUUAAACAGUUAUGUCCAAACACUUUUUGUCUUAAGUAAUUUAGACUUAAUGCUAUAAUUUUUCACUGUAUUAGUUCCCUGUAAAACAUUUCUAAGUAGUAGAAAAAUAAACUCUAGUCUCAACCAGGUUGGAUUAUUGCAAAUUCCCGAUUAAUAAGGUCUAACUUUAUUACAUAUUUUUUGUUUUUCUUUCUUAUUUCUUUCUUCCUUCUUUCUUUCCUUUUUCUUCCUUUCUUUCUUUCUCUUUCUUUCUCUCUUUCUUUCUCUCUCUUUCUUUCUUUCUUUCUUUCUUUCUUUCUUUCUUUCUUUCUUUCUUUCUUAAUUGCUGAAGCAUCAUCUCAGCGACCUUUUGACAUUUCACAAUUAAGGCUUUCGUGUACUUUUGGGAAGCAAUUUUAAAACUGAAAGGCAAUUUUAUUUAUACCUACUUAUCAAAGUAUAUGCUACAGCUUCUCAUUUUGAAAAAUGAGAAGAGCCAAAAGGAGAACAAGCAAAGGUGAAGAGGAGAAGAGAGGUAAUUGGUCCAAAUUAAAUGUGAUAUAUAUGAAGCAGGUUGGGGGCUAGAGGCCAGGCCCUGCUCUGAUUCAUUGGAAUGUUUGGAUGGGUAAUGAAUGGAAAGCACGGUCCCUGGAGGCAGCCUGUUCCUUCUAGUUACUUACAGACCAGUGACCCGUAGGUUCAUCUGAAAAAUCAGCAUUUGAAAAGUCAAUGUGAUUUAUCUAAGAAGAAACGAAUACCAGCAAAUUAGGUCUUUUAAACAUACAAACAAACCUUAAGGGUUGUUUUUUAGCCUGGGUUUUUUUCAUUGCAAAUAGCUUUGAAAAAAGAGAGGCACUACAAACCAUGCACCAAGUUUCAGUGGUAACAGGAUUUCCUGGUUUAACAGAAGCUUUCCCUAACAAAAUAAUUGUUGUCUAGAGGAAAAAAGGAAAUUAUGCUUUAAGUGUCUCUUUUCUUUUUUUUUUUUCUUUUGCCAUAAAAGCACAGGGAUUUUUUUUUAUUGUUUUAACAAGUUUUCAUGAUGAAUGAAAUGGGCUAACAUAUUGGAGGUUAAAGCUAAACACAUGAGGCGAAACAUGCAGUUUUAAGAAAUUUAGUUUACCAGCCAGAACCACAUUGAUUGGGCAAAAAGCCUUCAUAAAAUAAUUAUGAAUAUAAAUAGUUAACUUUGGUUUCUGUUGAUCAUAUAUAAAAGGGCCAUUUUGGGAGCAGUAAUAGCACUAUCAAAAAAAAAAGAAUAAAAGGAAUAAAGAAAGGACUUUAUUUUAAUGUUUAUUUUUGAGAGGGAGCGCCAGUGGGAGAGGGGCAGAGAAAGAGGGGGAUAGAGGAUCCAAAGAGGCUCCCCACUGAUAGCAGUGAGCCUGAUGCCAAACUUGAACUCAUGACUAUGAGAUCAUGACCUGAGCCUAAGUCCGACACUCAACUGACUGAGCCACCCAGGCGCCCCAAGAAAGGACAUUUUUGUAAGAUGUAUAUUCACACAAUCUAAACACAUUCUGAAACAAAUAUAACCACUUAGGUGCCAAUUAAAUACUAGACUUCAGGGGUUUUUUUUAAUUUUUUAGGUUUAUCUAUUUAUUUUAAGAGGGUGAGAAAGAGAGCAUGAGUAGGGGAGGGGCAGAGAGAGAAGGAGAGAAUCCCAAGCAGGCUCUGCACUGUCAGUGCAGAGCCUGAUGUGGGGUUUGCACUCACAAACCAGAAGAUAAUGACCUGUGCUGAAACCAAGAGUCGGUCGGUCACUCAACCAAAUGAGCUACCUAUGUGCCCCAACUUAAGUUGUUUUUAACCACUGUUUUACCAACUGUAUUUUUUCUUGUUUUGAUUUAGAAAAAAAGGCUAUUACCAUAUAGUGCUUCAAAGAGUAGGAAAGUCUCUGUCCAUAAUCUUUAAGCUUUCUGCUCAAACAUGUCAAAAGGCUUUAACUAUCAAUUUGUCCCUCGGUCAGUGAGAUGGUCUUCUUUUCAUGCUCCAAAAGCAUCUUGACUGCUCCCUGACUGGGAGAGAAAAUGUAAAUUGUAUCUGUCCAUACUUACAAUUCCUGCAUCUUUCUUUUCCAAGUUGGAUGUGUGUAAAUCAGAAACUAAGAGAAAAAAAGAGGAAGAUCAAGAUAACAGUGAGAUUCCUCAUAGUUUGUGAAAACUCCGUGAUGGUUUCUUUCUAACUAGAAGAUUUCUCGGGAAGACACUCUUGUUUUGUUUUGUUUUGUUUUGUUUUGUUUUGUUUUGUUUUGAGCUCUCUCUUCUGUCUAUAUUAUCAAAGCUCAAGUUUGUAUACAAAUUAACUAGCAUUGAAUUACCAAGCUCCUCGUUAUUUUCAAAACUACUUCUCAGAGAAGCCUAGACCUUUUUUUGGAGCAUUUACAAAUAGAUUUGAACAGACAUUUUAAUUAAAAAGUCAGGAUAAGGAAAAGCCAGUAUUAUCAGAGUCCAUUUUGCAGGUGGACAAUGAGGCCAGUAUGUUGGAGACGAGAACUACUGAUGGUUCUAAAAUCCGACAAUGAUAAUGCUCCAGUUAGUUAUUAAUGUCAUUCAUAUAUUUGCUUUUGAUGUGCUCCAUAUCUGUGGUGCUGGAAAGUUAGUGUACAAGGUUCAUUGAUGCUGCAUGCUUGGGUUACCUGUUUGUCCAACCAUUAAAAUAAAUAAACCUUCUGAACAUGUGCUGAACUCCUCCUCAGUUUGGUAGGAUUGUGUGUGUGUGUGUGUGUGUGUGUGUGUGUGUGUGUGUGUGUUUUAUGAUAAAUGAACUUUAAAUACUUUUUGGCCAAGAUAAAAUAUGUUUGGCUUCAGUAUCACGUCAAAUAAUUUUUUCUUAAGUUUGUAAGACCUUGGUGGAUGUCUGCCUCUUGGAUUCCAUGCUCCUGUGUGUGUGCGUGUGUUGUUUUUAAGUAAAUGCUGAGAUAUUUAAGUAAAUGUUUUUAAAUGACUUUGACUCACUUUAUUCUAUUUUUAAAUUGUAUGUAUUUAUUGAUUUUAAGUAAUCUCUACACCCAACAUGGGGCUCGAACUUACAACCCCAGGAUCAAGAGUCACAUGCUCCUGCAACUGAGCCAGCCAGGCACCCUUGAUUAUUUUAAACAAUCAUAACUUUAGUCUCAAAAUUGUGUAUAUGGGUGAGAAACUGCUGGUCUCAAUGUUUCUAAUGAUCCUACUUUCUAAUUACUUGGACUGCACCCCAAGAAAAUCCCAAAGUCUUUCCUUAAGUGAGACUGCUCCAGUGAAUUCUACUGUCCUUACUGGUCUUCCUUUAUCAGUAAGGCAACAAACAUUUCAUGUGAUGCCAAAGGGGGACAGACAGACUCUCACCCACGUUCACUGUAGAAAUGGAUUUUGUCUUUCUGCAAGAAUCCUUUUCAUUUGAAUUGGGUGUUCUUUUAGCUUUUUGUGGUGAGGGAAAAGCAUUUCAACAAUUCCCUACUCUUCUGCUGGAAAAUACGUCUCAUCCUGGGCUGUUACCUUCUUUUUGUGUAGAGUGAGGUAAAGAAAUGAUUUAUCCUCUCAACUGCCCGCUCUCAAUUGUCUCGCUGACUUCCCUUCCAGGCUCUCCAUGGGAUUUGAGAAUUUAUAUUUCCUUGCUUUUGUUUGCUGAUUGUAUAAAGGAUUUUUAUCUUCUUGUUUCAAGUGAAGUCUCACCAGCUAGGAUUUCCUUUCUUUAGGUUACACUUUGUCCCCUAAGCAUUUUGUCUAGCUUUUUUCUUGACUUUGUUCACAUUCCAUUUCACUCAUUUUGUUUCUUUUUCGCAUGUAUACUUUAGGAAGGCAUUGCUUUUCAACUCUGUCUAUUCUUUCUCCCUCUCUCUCUUUCUUUAUUUCUUUGGAAUGGCAAACUAUGGCAUGUCUCUCCCUCUCGCUCUCUUUCACUAUUAUUUAAAAUGACCUAAAAGGUGAAGUGCAAUAUCCACCCCAAAAAGCUCUUAUUUUUGUUGUUGUUGUUGUUAAAAGCACCACCAAUCAGAAUUUAUACUCAUUCUGAAUAGCUGUUCUCAAAUUAGAAUCAUCUAUUGUCAUUCACCUGGUGUCAUUUGUCCUUGGCGUAUAAUACAGUUUAGCUCUGUCCAGGUGAAAUAGAAUAUACAUGGCAGGAAAAAAAGAACAAAGGCCAUCAUUCUCUGGGCUCCCACAUACCUAAUCACUAGCAGACAAGGACUCUGCACAACAAAUACUUCAGGCCUAGGACUUAAGUGUUUCACACCAGGGUGUGUGUGAGAAAUAUAUAUUAAUUUCUGUAAGAACAAAGAAAAUUGAUGAAUUUCAUAGAAGACAAAAGAAAUAGCACUGCAAAUUUAAUUCAAUUUGAGUAAAAUAGUUAUGGCAGAAGCUGUAUUUUAUAAAAUAUUUUCCAAAUUGCAGUUCAUGGCUGACAUUUUUUUAAAAGCAAUAUUUAAUAAUAAAAUUCCAAGUCAAUGAAAUAGGAAUAGUACCUUAGAAAUCGCUGUAAACAAAUUUGGUUUGUUUUAGUUAAUUCAAUUGUUUUAAAGUUUUUCUCCUAAAUACUACUAUUUUUAUAUUUAAAAAUAAUUUUUAAUAUUUAUUUAUUUUUGAGGGAGACAGGGCGUGAGCAGGGGAGGGGCAGAGAAAGGGAGACACAGACUCUGAAGCAGGCAUCAGGCUCUGAGCUGUCAGCACAGAGCCUGAUAUGGGGCUCGAAUUAACGAACUGUGAGAUCGUGACCCAAGCCGAAGUCGGACACUUAACCGACUGAGGCACCCAGGUGACCCAAUACUAUUUUUAAAAUUUAAGUGGUAGCAUUAGUUUGACUCAGGUUUAUGAUAAGGCAUGAAGUAAAAGAAGUAAUAGAUUAUAGGGUUUAAGUCGGCACUGAAAAAGUCUGGCUCUAAAAAUUUCACAUGUUAGCAAAAGCAGCAAAAAGGAAUCAAAGUGAAUAAUCAGCAUUUUAAAAUAUUAACUCUACCUCCUUAGAGAAUCAGCAGCAGCAAGAAAAAAAUGCAUUGCCCCAAGACAUGUAAGACAUCAUUUUAUGAAGUGACUCCUGGUGGGCAGUAAGGAGAAAAGGUCAAACAGGGAUAACUAAGGAGAAUUUUAAGCUCAGCAAACGUUUAUCUGACUUCCUCUGGCCCGUUGUUGCAGAAUUUCUAGCUUUCAUGGUUGUAGCAAGGCAUUUCCUAUAUGUAUAUUGUUGAGGUCUUAUAUCAUUAUCAAAAUAUACCUUUAAAAAAUGUGCAAGAGGAGUUUUAGGGUAGUGAAACUAUUCUUCAUGAUACCAUAAUGGUGGAUACAUGUCAUUAUGUAUUUGUCCACAUGCACAGAAUGUACAACACCAAGAGUGAACUGUCAUGUUAACUAUGGUCUUUGGUGAUUAGGAUGGGUCAGUGGAGAUUCAUCAGUUGUAACAAUGUGCCACCCUGGAGGGGGAUGGUGAUAAUGGGUGGAGGUGGGUGGGGGACAGGCAGGUUGUAUAUGAAAAAUCUCUGUACCUUAUGCUCAAUUUUGCUGUGAAGCUAAAACUGAUCUAAAAAAUAAAUCUAUUAAAAAAAAAAUGAAUGUGCACAGCAGAGACCUUCCUGACCUCCACUGCCCUCUCCUUCUAGGCGUUUCAGUUCAGCUUUUCGAAUUCUUUGGAGUAACAGAGAAAGCACACAAGCUGCCUCCAGGUGUGUCCUACAUCUAAUGUGAUCACAUCAACUAUAGGAGGCACUUCUGAGACUGAACGGACCCCCAUUGAUAAUUCUGUAGGGCUAACACACCUAGGACUAUUCCAGCAAAACAGGAUGUAUGAUCACUCUCCUUAAUAUACCACUCUUUACCAGCAUUUUUCGCCUAUGAAACUAAUGUAGCAACACAACAAAAAGUUUGAAAACCUGGGGGAAAAACAUAAUUGCACAGUCCUAAAACAACCACUCAGUAAAUAAUUUUGGAUUUCUUCCAGUGUUUCCCAUAUUUCUUUUUUUACAAUUGCAAUCCUUAUGUGUACGUGGUUUUGUAUCCUGUGUUUUUCUCUUAAUGUUAGGUCGUAAAUACUUUUUCACAUUGCUAGUUUUGAAUAUUAUUUUAACAUUUAGCUUGGUAUUCCAAAGAGAUGUACUUACCAUUUAUUUAGUUAUGUCUUGCCCUGUAGUUUUUCAGCUGCAUAUAAAGUAAGCCCUUGCAGGGUGCCUGGGUGGCUCAGUCAGUUAAGCGUGGUCAUGAUCUCAUAGUUUGUGGGUUCGAGCCCUGCAUCGGGCUCUGUGCUGACAGCUCAGAGCCUGAAGCCUGCUUCAGAUUCUGUGUCUCCCUCUCUUUCUAUCCUUCUCCCACUCACACUCUAUCUCUCUCUCUCAAAAAUAAAUAAACGUUAAAAAAAUUAAUGUAAGCCCUUGCUAUUCAGUAGGGCCUGUGGGCUGAUGGCAUAGGUAUCAACUGAGAGUUGGUUAGAAAUGCAGAGUUGCAAGUUCACCCCAGACCUACUGAAUCUGCCUUGUCAGAAGGUCUCCAACUGAUGUACAUCAGGGUCUGAGAAGCCCUGAGUUAUUCUACUUAUAAACAACGCUGCUGUGAACAUCUUUAUGCACAUAUAUUUUGCUUGUGGAUGGUUUGGUUACAUUCAAUUCCCAGAAGUGAGAUUAUGAGUUCAAAAGACUUACAGAUUUUUAUGCUUGCCAGAACUGCAGGACAGUUCUUUAAAGAACCAGAGGGGUGGGUGUAACUGAGUGCUAUAACCUGAAGACUGGUCCAGUUAGUGCCCUCUGUCAGCUGGUAGAUUGCAAUUGACCUGUUGGAGCCCUCUGCUGUUAAAAGUCCCACUAUUUAAAGAACAAGCCCCUGUUGCCCUCUGGAGGCAGAGCCAGAGAGGAAAACAACUUUCUGUUCCAUCUCGUUGCCCCUCAGACUCCCAGAGCUUCUUGCAGUGCCCAUCAGAUUGUAAGGCUGACAACUCCUAAAUAUUCCAGAUACAGGCCAGAAACCUCUUAAAUUUCAUGUCUAGGGAAUUCAUUCCUGACUCUCUCUGAGUCAUGAAGAAAAAGAAAUGCUUCUUUUGGGGGCUUUUAGGUUCACCUUCCAAGCCACAGUAAUUCUAGCUUUGUUCUGGCAUCCAUAACCUAAAGGAUCACUGUGCUGCUUCCCUGAUGGCUCCCAAAGUCUCUUUUCUUCCCCGGGAGCUGCAGAUAUUUUCUUUUACAGAUAAUAUCAGCCCUUUAGGGGUCUGCAGUUCCAGUUCUUAUGCCAUCCUCUUCGGGUUCCUACAUUCUCUCCAGACUUUUCUCUGCUCACCACCACUGUCAUAUCUGACCUGCUUGUCUACUCCAGCAUGUUUAUUUUUUUAGUUGGCCUUUGGGUUGCUGUUUUUCUUGGGACAAUGUCGCAUUCUGGGGCUUAUGAUAUGCUUUCCUGAUAGCGAUAUUGUCCAGAUCCUCAGUUUGUUUCUUAGUGUUCUUAAGCCUGCCCGUCAAAACUGCCACACAUCAGGCUGCUUAUCCGUGUAGAUGUCUGGGACUGUGUCUGGCGACUUCAUCCCUCUGGUUUCACCUUCACUUAAGGAUGAUCACAAAUGGACAUCUGGAUUUGUCUUAAGAUUACUGGGAUAUCAAUAUCCGUCCUGGCAGACUUAACUAGAUCACUAACAUGCCUUGAUGUUUCUUCUGAAGACAUUUCCUCGAUUAAAUUGCUCUCCCUUUUCCAGAAUGACAAAGCUUAAUGUUGUCUCACAGAAACGGAAGCGUGCUUUCCACCAAUUACUCUUCUUUGUGGUGUUCAACCUGUUUGUGUGUGUGUGUGAGAGAGAGAGUAUGAGAGAGAGAGAGGCUGACUUUUACCCAUAGUUCAUUUUGCUCUGAGAUAGGCCAAGUAGAGUAACUUGUCUUUAGGAUGGCUGCCAUCAAUUCCUUCCUGUAUGUACAAACCAUUUUCCCCAUGAGCAGUAGAAUCUAUGCUUCCAUUUCUUUGAAUUCGAGCCGAUUGGUGAAUGCUGUGACGAAUAGAAUACAGAAGUGAGGCUGAGUCAUGAGAAAGCUUAUAGCUUCUGCCUAGCUCUCUUGGAAUGCUCACUCUGGGGGAAUCCAGCCUCAAUGAUAGAAGAAAUCUGACUACCUCAAGACUACCAUGCUGUGAAGAAGCCCAAGGAAGCCCAAAGUAGCCACAUGGAGAAGCCACAUGGAUAGAGAUUAGAUAAACAGAGGUGCACAGAGCUCCGGUGUCUUGCCCACAUCCAGAUCUGGCUAGUGUUGAUGCCAGGACAAGAAUUCAGGUCUCCUGGCCCAGGCGCAGCUCCUUUCACUGUAUCACCUACCUCUCCAAUACUAAAGAAGCUCUGCGGAAAUCGGAGAAUGCUUCAGACAGAAGGCCAGAUGGAGGCUCAUGCAGGCCCUGUCCAAACCACCACUGGGCUAGGAACAGUGAAAAAUGGCCAUGCUAUUCCUUCCUCACUUGGAUGAUGACAGGUGGGAUGCGAAUUACUUCUAUAAUAAAAGCGUAAGUAAAAACUCUUGUCCAAAUGUCCCUAAGUCUUACUGGCUUGCGCAUAUAAAUCAAGUCACAUCAGUGUAGUUCCUUAGCCCCCUUCUUAAAGUCUGCCCACACCACUUGAGGGAGCCCUGCAUGGGUUAAUAUUUUGAUAUCAUUCCAUCUGAACAUAUAUGUGGUGUAUAUUGUUUUGUCAUCUCUUUUUGCAUUUAGUGUACUGUAAACUUUCUCCUAUGGGUUAGAUAUUUUUCUAUAACAUGAUUUUUUCAUGGUUAUGUAGUAUUUCAUCAUAUAGCUAAUUUGUUUUAACCAGCUUCUUUAUUGUUGUACAUUUACUACCAAUAGUAAGUAAUUCUGUGGUCAAUAUCUUUGCACAUAUUUCUAAUUAUGGUCCUGAAAUAAUUCCUGGCCAUGGAAUUGUUUGGCCAAGUGCUUAUCAAAAAGGAUUAAUGCUAGAAUUACUAAUAAAUAAUGAUACCUCAAGUACUACUAAACAUUGGUCCAAUGGGAGGUAAUUCCUCCGGAGAGAGCUCUUGAAAACAAAAAUGCAACACUUACAGCCUUUCAAUAAUGCAUUUUAAGGGUGCCUGGGUGGCUCAGUGGGUUAAGUGACCAAUUCUUGAUUCCGUCUCAGGUCAUGAUCCCACGAUUCAUGAGACUGAGCUCUGCCUUGGGCUCUGCACUGACAGCGCAGAGCCUGCUUGGGAUUCUCUCUCUCUCCCUUUUUUCCUUGCCCCUCCCCUUUUCAUGCACGCAUGUUCUCUCUCGGUCUCAAAAUAAAUAAACUUGAAAAAAAAUAAUGCAUUUUAAACAACAAAAACCAUUCCAGAUUUAUCAGUACAGAGGAACAAUUUUGAAUUUUGAAACCCCUUUAUAAGCUGACAUUUGUUUCCUAAAACUUAGAUACAAUAUUUUCAUGUAGGAAUGGUAGUAUCUAUUUAAAAGACAAUAAUGGGGGUGCCUGUGUGGCUCAGUUGGUGGAGCGUCCGACUUUGGCUCAGGUCGUGACCUCGAGGUUUGUGAGUUCGAGCCCAGCAUCGGGCUCUGUGCUGACAGCUCGGAGCCUGGAGCCUACUUCAGAUUCUGUGUGUGUCUCUCUCUGCCUCUCCCAUGCUUGUGCUCUGUCUCUCUCACUCUAAAAAUAAAUAAACAUUAAACAUUUUUUUAAAUAAAUAAAAGACAAUAAUGUAUAAGUUGUUUAUUAGUGAAUGUAUCAUCACCAAGUCAUGCAGGGAUAUUUUAUACUGUAGGUGAAAGCUUGGCCUCCCGGAGUUUGUUAAUUUUCUACCAUGGAGAUUUUAAAGGUCCAGUGGUCCGUAAGGGAUUAAGUGGGCGGUAUGACUUGUAUCCUUAACUAGAUUUUAAGAGAAAGGAGUUGUCACCAAUACAUUUUGACCAAAUGUCUUAUUAAAGGCGCCACCAAGAGCAGAGCUUGGAAGCAAGUGUAGCCCCGACGCCCCUGGCAGCCCGAGCGUUCUGUACUGUAAUAACUCAUCAGCAACAGGAUGAAGUAGUUUAUGUUCCAGACUUUGCCUCCUGGUAUCUAGAUUUUUAUAGGUGUUUUGACUGAGGUGUAGAGGAGGCAUUUUUUGGCCACUGAUUUCUAUUCCAGAUUGCGGGAUGUGAAUAAUUUGGUAAAUUAACAUCAAUGGGUUAAACUGUUCUUUGUUACCAAAGGCCCCUGGGCUGCCUGUUCCACUGGAUGGUCACAUUAAUUUGUAACCACAUGAGGAUGGCUGCUGGGCACACACGCCCAAGUUAAAUUUCCUUUUGCAGGUUUUCCCCCUAUUUUGGAUAUUCAGGUAGCCACUGAAGUCUGAGGCAGCUCUCUCUUGUGCAUUCAUAAUUCUGACUAAACCUAGGGCUUCCAAAACUAAUAUCAGAGAGGAAAGAUCCAAACCUUAGUGCCUUUGUGGCUUUUUUUUUUCCUGGGGCCAGCUUUCGGCCAUGUUUCCAAUGAUCAAUCUGUACCCCUAGUUAUACACUAAAUGCAUAAACUGUGUGUGCUGCAAAUGAUGUUUUUCUAGCCUGUCCGUAUAGCCUAUUAAACCAGAGUUGGCAGUUUUCCAUCCCUUAGGAGAAGCAUUUGGCAUAAAUAAUAUUGUCAUUUGGGAAGGCUAGACAUGGUUUGAAGAAGUGACCUUGUAUAAAUAUUGUCUGAGGUAUGACUGAGGCUAAAUUAUAAUACAGGGAGCUAGUAUAGUCUGGGCUCUGGGCCCUCCUGGUAAUGAAGUUGCUUCUUGUAGCAAUGGAACUCUUUGAAUUGAAAAUGUAAUCAAAUAUAUCAGAUGCUGUUAAAAACACAGGAACCAGCCUAUUUAUGAACGCCCAGGGUCCAAAGGAUGGCAAUAUGUUACUGGAAUUUCUUUGUCAUUCAAAUGGAUUUGUCUUUUUAAGAGACAAAAUGUCCUAGAAAGUGCCUUUUGUCUUCACCGCAGAACUUCCCCCCAGUGUUGAGACUGCUGAACAUGCCAGGCCUUUGUUGAUCCUCUGCCCACAUGUGGGAUGAGCAGUGGGCACAGACCACAGUGUCCCUGGCUGUUUGUGGGUGACUUUGUCAGUAGAACAAAUACAACCCCUAAUAGCCACUUUCCAUUCCCUUUCCAUUAUCCUUGUUUAGAAUUUUAUUUCCUGGGUGGCUCAGUUGGUUUAGCAUCCAAUUUCGGCUCAGGUCAUGAUCUCACUGUUCAUGGGAUCGAGCCCUGCAUUGGACUCUGCACUGACAGCUUAGAGCCUGCUGGAGAUUCUCUCUCCCUCUCUCUCUGCCCCUCCCCUGCUCUGUGUCUUUCUUAAAAAUAAAUAAACAUUAAAAAAAAAUUUAUUUCCCCUUUCCUGGCCUAUGUUACUCAAAUGGCCUACUAAUUAUACAGAACUCCUGCCCUUCACUUUCUCCUCCUUUUAUCAACUGAUUUGUCAGAUCUGUCUUUCAAAAGCAUGAUUUUAUUUUUAUCAAUCCAUUGAUUUAUUCAUUUAUUCAUUCCACAAAUAUUGAUUGAAUGUGGACCAUUUGUCAACCACUUAGCUCUCUGCUAUAAGAUUUACAGUCUAAUGGGGCAGACAGAUAUUUGACAAAUAAUCCCAGUAUUGAACAGACAAUUAUAAGAUAAUGUGAGCAUUCUGCAGGGAUGAAGCAAGAUUCUUUGGUAGUAUAAAACGAAGACACUUUCUCUGGAUGGAGGAGCAGGGGAGGCUCCUCUGAGGAAAUGAUAAUUAAAUUGCAGUGUGAGCAUGUAUAGGUAUAGAUUUUAGUGGGGCAAAAGAGUAAGGUGGAGAGUAGGACAGGAGGGGCUGGGUGGAGUGUUUCCUUAAAAGAGGAGCAGGCCAUGGCAAGGGUAAGCAUAGUGCCAUCUGAGGAAUGGAGAGAAGGCGGCUAUGGCUGGAAUGUGAAGGAUGAGGGCCACGCCAGGAGGGCUAUGUAAGUCAUGUUAAGGAUUAUGGUCUAUGUCUACUAGUUGUGGGAAGUCAUUGAAAAGCAUGUAAACAGUCUGUGACUGGAUCAGAUUUGCAUUGAGAAAAGGCCAGUUGGGCCGCAGUGGGGGGAAUUGAUUGGCAGUGGCAAAGAAAUGAGGAAGGAGAGAUAAUAGUGAACCCAGGUAUUAGCAGUGGAGAUGAGAAUUAGACAGGUCUGAAUGUUGUUUAUGUGGUGAAAAAAAGACACGGCGUUUUAUAAUAGAUUGGACAUGAGGGAGAAGACAUCAUUGAGGAUGAUUGUGAGGCUCCAGUAUGUGCAGCUGGAUUGGUUGAGAUGCCAUUUACUGAGUGGGGGGUUCCUGAAAAAGAGGACUGGAAUCAUGAGCAAAGACCUGGAAUUUUUGUAGAGAAAUGAUACUCAAACUCAUGAGAAAGGAUGAGUUCACUAGAGGAGAAAGGAUAAUUAGAGAAGAAAUGAAAAUGUUUUGAAACUAAGAAUAAAGAAGAAAAUUCUAGUCAGAAUUAGGAGCAAACUUGUUGAGUUUCAAGGAAUUGCAAGGAGGAGGGCAGUAGGAAAUGAAAACACACAGAUGUGAUUGGAGAAGUUGGCAGACUGGACCAUGUAGAGCCACGUAGUCCACUGGGAAAGGAUUUUAGCUUUUAACUGAGUGAGAUGGGAAGUUAUUGGAGGGUUGCUUUUUGUGUUUUGUUUUGUUUUGCUUUGCUUUGUUUUAGAGAGAAUGUGUGCAAGCUGGGGAGGGGCAGAGAGAGAGAGAGAGAGAGAGAAAGAGAGAGAGAAUCUCAGGCAGGCUCCACACCAAGCACAGAGCCUGACCUGGGGCUCCAUCUCAUGACCAUGAGAUCAUGACCUGAGCCUAAAUCAAGAGUCGGACACUUAACUGAAUGAGCUACCCAGGUGCCCCUAUUGGAGGGUUUUCAUCAGAGGAAUUACAUGGUCUGACUUAGAGUUUUGAAAGAUUACUGUGGCUGCUCUGUGGAGAAAAGACUUUAGGGAAAUAAGGCCAACAUCAAGGACAUCAGUUGGGUAACAAUUGCAAUAAUCCAAGUGGAAGAUGGCAGUGGUGGUGACUUACUCACAUGAGGGUGGUAGCUGAGAAGGUGGUAAGAAGUGGUUACAGCCUGGAUAGAUUUUUAAUAUAGAACCAGUGGCAUUUUCUGAUGCACUGAUGUAGUGAGAAAGAAAGAGAAGAGUGAAUGAUGACACCAAUAUUUUUGGCUUGAGCUACUGGAAAGAUGGAUUGUCUUUCACAAAGAUGUAGAAGAUGGUUGGAAACUUGGGAGUUUGGCUUUGAAUAUUAUGUUUGAGAUCCUUAUUAGGUAUCCAAGUGGAAAGAUUAAGUAGGCUGAUGGACAUAUGGCCGGAAGUUCAAAGGAGAGAUACAGCAUAAAAAUAUAAAUUUGGUUAUAUUUGAGGUGUAGAUAAAUGACACUGAAACUCAUGAGAAAGGAUGAGUUCACUACAGGAGAAAGGAUAAUUAGAGAAGAAAUGAAAAUGUUUAGAAACAAAGCAUAGAGAAGAAAAUUCUAGUCAGUGAUCAAGGUUUAUAUCACCAGGAAUAAGACAUACCAACAUCAUGUACCCCUUGAUAUGAUGCACUGAGAAGAGUAUAACAUCACUUUUGUGGUAUUUUUGCCCAAAAAUGGAUAAUCUCACUAUAACCAUGAGAAAAUAGCAGAUAUCCAAACUGAGAGACAUUCUACAAAAUUAAUGACCAGCACUCUUCAAAAGGUCAAGGUCAUGAAAGACAAUGAAUAAGAAACUCACAGAUUGAAGAAACUAAAAAGGCAUAACAAGUAAAUACAGUGUGAGACUCCAGAUUGGAUCCUGGAACGGGAAAAGUAUAUUAGUGGGAAAACUGUUGAAAUUCAAAUAAAGACUGUAGUUCAGUUAACAGUAUUGUACCAAUGGUAUUUUCCUGGUUUGGAUCAUUGCACUAUGGUCAUAUAAAAUGUAAAUAUUAAGGGAACCUCAUUUAGAGAAAUGGGUGAACUUCCUGUUUUAUUUUUUGCAACUUGUCUAUAGUCUAAAAUUAUUCCAAAAGAGAAAGUUUUAAAAAGUUAGAUUAUGGCUUUUAGGCAUGUACCCCCCAAGGAUAUGGCUGCCUUCAUUUCCAGUCUUUCUAGCUUGGCAUAGAGAUGCUGAAGAUGUUGGCAGGACCUCCCAAAGGGGUCUUUAGACUGUGUGAAAGACUUUGUACUUUUCUCUAAGAGCCAGUGAAGGAUUAGGCAGGGAAUGUGGAGGAAGAUGGGAAACUAGACAUGUUUGUUUUAGGCAAAAAGAGACAAGAAAACAGAAUAAAUACUGGGUUAGGCCCAGAUUCAGGCAAACACCCAGUUACUCUCAAUUAUUCAUCCUGUUCUCCAAACAGAAUUGACCAUGAGUUAGUUCAUGACUCACAAGGGUGUUAGCACAUUGUAACGUCUGGCUGGGAAGAUUGCUCAAAUCCCAGAGGAUUAUCCUUGUGGAGCCUUGCAAGUGUCCUGUUUUCUCCCGACACUCCUACAGUGCAGGCAGAACUGUAGAGGGGAUUUUAAGCUUGUAAGCCUUAAAGGUAAGUUGUGGGUGCAUUGUAUCUGACCUUCCUUGUCUGGAAUGUUUCCAGAACAAAGCUGGAUUGAGAUACCAACCUACAGUGAACGAUCAAAAUGAUCGUUAGAAAUGGGGCGAGAGACUCUUCCUGCACCCCUUUCUCUGCCAACUCUGCUGGGGCAGAGGGUCACGGUGAGAUGGGGCGGGGCAGGGAGUAUUAGAGAGUCCAUCACAUCAAAGUUCCCAAGGGUGUUUGUGGACCAGUUGGAGACGGUGACUGAGAAGUGCUAAUUAGAAAAUGACAUAUUAAGUAUUAGCCUUGGGGAAAUUAUAGAAGUGGUUCAUACAGAGGACAGAAAGGUUCCCUGAAGCUGAGGAGUCUAUGCCUCUGCCCAAAGAAAGGGUGAACCAUUGAGAAACGUGCUCUUUCAUCUGCCUGCUGUCCUAUGGGGGAUAGGCUAGAAAUCAGGAGAGUCCCUGGAGUCUAGGGUAGGAUCACCUCCGCACCCUCACUAUUACCAAUGUACCUCAUUGCCUGGCCUGGCAGGAAACUGAAUGUCAGUACCAAUGGCUAGAUCUCCUCUUAGAAACUCUGAAAUCAUGAAAUCCAAUACCCUAAAGUUUAGAUCCUACAAAAUCCUAUUAUUAAUGGUAGCUGUCAAUUUCUGAAUACUUACUACCUGCUAGGCUCUUUAUAUAAUUGCUUCUAAUCCUUCUAGCAACCCUUCAAAGUAAGUCAUUAUCAUCCCCGUAUGACAGGAUUUUACCGGUGAGGAAAUAGAGACUUAGCUUGUCUGAGGUUAUACAACUAGUGAGAAACUAAGUCGGGAUUUGAACCCAGGCCUGGCUUCCUGCAGAAUCCCAGAGCUCUUCACUAAAAUUAAUGCCUUCCUAAUAUUGAGUGAACCCAUGGAGGCAGGAGUAAGUAAUCCCCUGGGAGAAUAUUAGCGACUCUGCAGUGACUGGCACUGACCCAAUUUUAUAGACAUAUACCAAUGUGCAGGAUUUCAGGAAGUUUCACUAGGGAUGUGGAAUCAGCAGCCCAUGACUCAUCAGGCCAAAUUCGGGGGAGGCUGCCUGAUGGUGAGGCUGCAGGCAGUUUACAGUAACUGAGGUCUGUGAAGAGUGAGGGGGAAGGGCCUGAAGAGUCAUGACCAGCACACCUGGGCUCCUGAUGUUGGAAACUCAUGAGGAUGUUCUGUCAGUGUUGGCCUUAAGCUUCAUUUCUGGCUUAAAUUUGGGUGGCUUACCAAGCCUCAAAGGUGGAAAGAACAAAUCAUGUUGAGAGUUUGACAGUAAGCGAGGUCCAGGGUUUGAGCUGGCUCUUUGCCACAGGGUUGACAUGUGAAGAGGGGCAGAGUAGCUUCUUCCUCACCAUCAAAGUCUGUCAUCUGCCCUAGGCAUCCCACACACAGAAGGGUAGCCAGGCCUCAACCCCACUUUCUGGAAAGAACCCCUUUGAUGCAGAAUUAUGGAGGAGUCUAGGCCCACAAAAGGCAUUAUAUAUAACAAACUACCAUAUUGACAAAACAGAUAUGCUAUUAACUAUUUUCAUUAAGUUCAAGCAAUAGGGCAAGAGCAUUUUGGGUGUUGGGGACAUUUUAAGAAGUCAGUGUUUUCCAGGAAAGGUAAAGGAGGGAAAAAAAAGUCACCUUCUCAUUGUGGGUAUUGAGGAGACAGUAAAACAUGAACUCUGCAGCACCAUUUAAAAGAUCCAACCCCUGCCUUUCCCUGUUCUAUCUUCCACUGUUGCUUUCCUUAGCCUUUGCUCCAGUUAUAUCCUUCUCUUGCCGGUCUGCUUUUACAUGUUUCUCUCUCUCCCUGGCAUAGCCCUGCCUGAUUCCUCUCCCUGCUCCCUAUCACCUCAGUCACUCCUACUUGUCCUUCAUAACUCAGCUCAGUGUUUCCUGUCCCCACCCCCACCCCCCGCUGCUGCCAGGGAUAUCUUCCCUGCUUACCUAAGCGAUUUCCAGCUGUGAACUAGACUUCUCUACACGGAUGUCCCACUGGCUCCUCCAAGUGAGUUGAUCUGCACUUCCACGUGGGUUCCUUUUCAUCUCAGUGCCUCCAUUGACCAUCUCUGAUCCUUCUCUCCCCAUCUCCUUUAUUCAGUCACCCAGUAAGUCCUGUCCAUUCAGAUAACAAUAAGAUUGAGCCCUUAAUAUAUGUUAGAUAUUGUCAAAAGUACUAUACGUGUGCAAACUCACUUAAGCCUCAGACAACAACACUAUAAAGUGGAUCCUGUCAUCCUAUUGCUUUAUGGAUGAGAAAAUUAAGGCAAAAGACCAUAUAAGUAGUUUGCCUAAAAUCACACAGCUAAAAAGUGAUAGAACCAGGAUUAGGACUCCAAAGCCUUAUCUCCUAAAUAUGUCUCAGUCUCCACAGGCCACCAUAAUCUCAUUUCCCCCUGCAAUCUAUCCUUAUAAUGCAGUUAGAGUCAUUUUUCUGAGUGAACUCUCCUUGACUCACCUUCCAGCUUCUUAUUUCCCUCUAGACAGACCCCACAUGUCUUAAGGCAACUGAAAAGGCACUUCUCCCAUAUACCCCUGCCCACCUUCCAGCCUUAUCUCAUGCCACACCUCAGCUCAACUCCUGGGUCCAGGACUUCCUGUCUAUGGAGCACUAUGGUCUCCUCCUCUCUCUGCCUAGUCAUACUCUCUUCGCCCUCAGAUCUCAACUCGGAUGUCACUUCUUUCAGCAAGCUCUCCCUGGCCUCUGACUCCCUUGGUCCUCCACGGCAUCCAGUGCUUACCUCUGUGCAACAGCCAUCCUUCCCUUGAAGAGUCUGCUCCCUUCCUCUGUCUUCUGCAUUAGCUGUAGGCUCUCUGAAUGCAGAUGUUGGGUCUUGUUUUCAGUGAAUCCCCCAGGAAUAGUAAAGUAUUCAACAGAUGUUUGUUAAAUAUAGGAAUAAAGUGUAUCAAAUUUCUGACCUGACUGAUUGUACAAAGGUCCCUAUCCCUACAUCUUCCCAAUGAUAUUACAUGCAAAAUUGCCAGAUUUGUGAGUGAAGAUGGUAUUAAAGAGCAGAUGACAUGGAAGAGGGGACCACAAAGGGAAACAGCCACUCUUCCCUUGACACAACAUCAACUUCCAUUUCCCAAGGGGAUACAGAAGCCUUCUUGGGACUUUUUGCUUGAGAGUCUGGCUUUAAAUCAUUUGCCCUGCAUGUAUCCACUAAUCAGAGGGCUGUGGAAAGUUCGGGCUACCUGCAGUUCCUUCCAGGUGUCAUCACGACUCAUUUGCUGGCUUUUGGACUUGGAUGUAGCUGUACAAAGCCUCAUUUUACUCAUUUGGAAAAGACCACCUGGGCUUCAAUUUGGGGAAGUAUAACAAAUUAGAUGCCCUGACUAACCCUUUCAACUGAAACAACUAAAAUGAAAUAACACAAAAAGAAAGUUUUUUGUUUUUGUUUCUUAAACCACAUUGUUCAAGUGUCCUAAAAGUAAAGAAUCUGAGAAUCUCAGGGUGCCUGGGUGGCUCAGUAGGUUGUUUCCAACUCUUGAUCUCAGCUCAGGUCAUGAUGCCAUGAUUUAGGAGAUCGAGCCCCGUGUCAGGCUCUUUGCUGACAACGCAGGAGCCCUGCUUGGGAUUCUCGCUCUCUCCCUCUUUCUGUGCCCCUCUCCUGUUCAUGUGCACUCUUCUGUCUCAAAAUAGCAAAAUAAACUUUAAAAAAAAAGAAUGUGUGAAUCCCAAAAAUGAGGUUAAG
This is a long non-coding RNA of Acinonyx jubatus (cheetah), 28099 nucleotides long. RefSeq lists it as uncharacterized. The record is from RefSeq and is a predicted model, not a curated record. Lineage: Eukaryota; Metazoa; Chordata; Mammalia; Carnivora; Felidae. The transcript is spliced from 3 exons.